AACGAGAAGAGGAAACUGGGAAAGAGAUUGGUGACUAGUGUUCCCCAGCGGCUAGGAGGGGAACUGCUAGGACCUGCAAAACUGCCCUCUCCUGGGCCUGGUGUCUCCCGGGUAAACUCUGCAUCCAACCUGGAGCUUGAACUCAUGACCACAGAUCAAGGGGCACAUGCCCUACCAACUAAGCCAUCCAGGAGCCCCCACAAUUCUUUUCAACAAAUGUUUAUGGAGCAUCUUUUGCAAGCCAUCCCUAAAAGGGACACUGGAGCUACAGAAUGAAAUCAGUCAAACCUUCUGCCUGCAGGAAGCUCACUGUCUUAGAGGAGAAACAGCGAAACCCGCAAUCACGGGACCCCAGGAAAAGUGCUGGUUGAGCCAGCCACCGUUUCUGUGCUCCGGGAAUAGGACAGAGCUCUGGGGUCAGGGAAGACUUCUGGGGUGAGAUCACCCUUGGCUGAGUUUUGGAGAAUGUUAAAAUUAGCUCCACGAAGCAGUGGGAAAAGCUGGAGGGGAGGCUUGGAGGUGUGAGGCAGCAUGAUGCACUGUCUCCAGGAGCCAGGUCCUGGUGGCUGUAGUGAAGACACCUUCAGAGAAAAGCCCAUGGGGCUCCGGGGCUGGGCUGAAUUUGACUUGGUGGCUGAAAGUUACAGCCGAAGCCUUCCUACUUUGCCUUCCUUUCUGAUCUUCACGGACUCACCUUAACUCUCUCUCCUUGUUCUUAGGAGUUUCCUUAACCCCCUCUUCUUAAGGUCUCGCCUAACCUCUUCCUCUCUUCCCACAAAGGCCUGUUCUGUUUCCUCUUCCUCCCCAUCACUCACUGCUGACACCCUUCCCUCCAAGGCUUCCUUACCACCACCCUCCCUCAGCCGC
Molecule: long non-coding RNA, 867 nt
Organism: Neofelis nebulosa (Clouded leopard)
Lineage: Eukaryota; Metazoa; Chordata; Mammalia; Carnivora; Felidae
Exons: 2
Source: RefSeq, a predicted model, not a curated record